UACGGGAGGCAGCAGUGGGGAAUAUUGCACAAUGGGCGAAAGCCUGAUGCAGCUAUGCCGCGUGUAUGAAGAAGGCCUUAGGGUUGUAAAGUACUUUCAUCGGGGAGGAAAAACAAAACUAAUAAUUUUAUUUCUUGACGUUACCCGAAAAAGAAGCACCGGCUAACUCCGUGCCAGCAGCCGCGGUAAUACGGAGGGUGCUAGCGUUAAUCAGAAUUACUGGGCGUAAAGAGCACGUAGGUGGCUUUUUUAAGUCAGAUGUGAAAUCCCUGGGCUUAACCUGGAACUGCAUUUUGAAACUGAAAUACUAGAGUAUCGUAGAGGGAGGUAGAAUUCUAGGUGUAGCGGUGAAAUGCGUAGAUAUCUGGAGGAAUACCUGUGGCGAAAGCGGCCUCCUAAACGAAUACUGACACUGAGGUGCGAAAGCGUGGGGAGCAAACAGGGAUUAGAUACC
RNAcentral lists this ribosomal RNA (454 nucleotides) under uncultured bacterium. RNAcentral describes it as "bacterial SSU rRNA". It matches the Rfam family "Bacterial small subunit ribosomal RNA", at positions 340 to 786 of the family's 1533-position model. The record is from RNAcentral.